UAUAUAGAGUAGGAGUUGGGUGGAAAGUCUAUUUUUCCUAGAAAGUCUGGGAAGGAAUAAGAAUUGGACAUGUGUCAUUGAGGGAUUUUAAGUAGAAGGGCUAUCAUGUAAUUUCACAUUUUAAUUUUAUUUUUGGAAUGUAUCUUCAUUAACUAAAAUUUGCAUGAUAUCUAAUUGUAACCGAUUUUUGUCCCUGAUUUUCGGAAUUAUUGUUGUUUUUGAAUCUAAAUCUCUUCCAAAUAUCACGAAAUGUAUUUAUCUGGAAAACUAUCAGCAGGUCUUGGUGAUGUGUUUUACCAGUCAGAGAGGUUGAAGUCAGUGUGUUUUAACACACUGAAGUCAAUAUGUAGUCAGGUUGUGUUUUAACAGUUCUUUUGCAUUUUAACACUCUGAAUGUGUUUUAACACUCUGAAGUCAGAGAGGUUGAAGUCAGUGUGUUUUAACACUCUGAAGUCAAUAUAUAAUCAGGUUGUGUUUAACACUCUGAAUGUGUUUUAACAGUUCUUUUGCAUUUUAACAUUCUUGACGCUGUGUUUUAACAGCAAGCAGAUUGCUGGCCAUUGUGUUUUAAGAGCAACAUGCAGAUUUCUUGACGCUGUGUUUUAACAGCA
This 611-nucleotide long non-coding RNA is filed under the name Helianthus annuus (common sunflower). The record is from RNAcentral. Lineage: Eukaryota; Viridiplantae; Streptophyta; Magnoliopsida; Asterales; Asteraceae.